This 85-nucleotide transfer RNA is filed under the name Fibrobacterales bacterium. Its description in RNAcentral is "tRNA-Leu". It matches the Rfam family "tRNA". Rfam says of the family: Transfer RNA (tRNA) molecules are approximately 80 nucleotides in length. Their secondary structure includes four short double-helical elements and three loops (D, anti-codon, and T loops). Further hydrogen bonds mediate the characteristic L-shaped molecular structure. tRNAs have two regions of fundamental functional importance: the anti-codon, which is responsible for specific mRNA codon recognition, and the 3' end, to which the tRNAs corresponding amino acid is attached (by aminoacyl-tRNA synthetases). tRNAs cope with the degeneracy of the genetic code in two manners: having more than one tRNA (with a specific anti-codon) for a particular amino acid; and 'wobble' base-pairing, i.e. permitting non-standard base-pairing at the 3rd anti-codon position. The record is from RNAcentral. Lineage: Bacteria; Pseudomonadati; Fibrobacterota; Fibrobacteria; Fibrobacterales.
GUCCGGGUGGCGGAACUGGUAGACGCUGAUGACUUAAAAUCCUCUAACCUCUUUGGUUGUGCGGGUUCGAGACCCGCCCCGGGCA